RNAcentral lists this ribosomal RNA (491 nucleotides) under uncultured bacterium. Its description in RNAcentral is "partial 16S ribosomal RNA". It matches the Rfam family "Bacterial small subunit ribosomal RNA", at positions 28 to 507 of the family's 1533-position model. The record is from RNAcentral.
GAUGAACGCUGGCUACGUGCUUAACACAUGCAAGUCGAGGGGAAACGCCGGGGACUCGUGCUUCCCCGGGCGUCGACCGGCGCACGGGUGAGUAACGCGUAUCCAACCUGCCUCUGACUGAUGGAUAACCCGUCGAAAGUCUACCUCAUACCUCAUGGCUUCGUCUCCGGGCAUCCAACGACGAUUAAGGAUUUCAUCGGUCUGUGAUGGGGAUGCGUCUGAUUAGCUUGUUGGCGGGGUAACGGCCCACCAAGGCUACGAUCAGUAAGGGUUCUGAGAGGAAGGUCCCCCACAUUGGAACUGAGACACGGUCCAAACUCCUACGGGAGGCAGCAGUGAGGAAUAUUGGUCAAUGGGCGGGAGCCUGAACCAGCCAAGUAGCGUGCAGGAUGACGGCCCUAUGGGUUGUAAACUGCUUGUAUGCGGGGAUAAAGUGAGGGACGUGUCAUUCAUUGCAGGUACCGCAUGAAUAAGGACCGGCUAAUUACGUG